This is a long non-coding RNA of Cynoglossus semilaevis (tongue sole), 343 nucleotides long. RefSeq lists it as uncharacterized. The record is from RefSeq and is a predicted model, not a curated record. Lineage: Eukaryota; Metazoa; Chordata; Actinopteri; Pleuronectiformes; Cynoglossidae. The transcript has 4 exons.
ACUUCACCUGGUGUAACUAACCGUUUCCUAAUAACUGCAGUUUCCCAACACUGGUCAUGUAAAUCCAUGAUUCAUUCUUCUUCUGUGCCUGUACUGUAUAUAAGAGCAGUCUUCAGUCUGACAGCAACAUUCUCCACCAUCUACAACAUCUUCUACCAGACUUGGAGAGACAAGGUCACUGAUCACUGAAACCAUGAAGGCAGUACUUGUGCUUGGAUUCUUCCUCUGCAUCACUUUGGCCAAUCAUCUGGGCAUGGCUCACAAACGAUUUGCCCGCUCUGAAUCAGGGUCCGACUCUGAUGAGACAACUACAACAGCUGCCACCACUGCCACCACCACUGCC